GGGUUGUGAGGUUAAGCGACUAAGCGUACACGGUGGAUGCCCCGCAGUCAGAGGCGAUGAAGGACGUGCUAAUCUGCGAAAAGCGUCGGUAAGGUGAUAUGAACCGUUAUAACCGGCGAUGUCCGAAUGGGGAAACCCAGUGCAAUUCGUUGCACUAUCGUUAACUGAAUACAUAGGUUAACGAGGCGAACCGGGGGAACUGAAACAUCUAAGUACCCCGAGGAAAAGAAAUCAACCGAGAUUCCCCCAGUAGCGGCGAGCGAACGGGGAGCAGCCCAGAGUCUGAAUCAGCUUGUGUGUUAGUGGAACGGUCUGGAAAGUCCGACGGUACAGGGUGAUAGUCCCGUACACCAAAAUGCACAGGCUGUGAACUCGAAGAGUAGGGCGGGACACGUGGUAUCCUGUCUGAAUAUGGGGACCAUCCUCCAAGGCUAAAUACUCCUGACUGACCGAUAGUGAACCAGUACCGUGAGGGAAAGGCGAAAAGAACCCCGGCGAGGGGAGUGAAAAAGAACCUGAAACCGUGUACGUACAAGCAGUGGGAGCACCUUCGGGUGUGACUGCGUACCUUUGUAUAAUGGGUCAGCGACUUAUAUUCUGUAGCAAGGUUAACCGUAUAGGGGAGCCGCAGGGAAACCGAGUCUUAACUGGGCGUUAAGUUGCAGGGUAUAGACCCGAAACCCGGUGAUCUAGCCAUGGGCAGGUUGAAGGUUGGGUAACACUAACUGGAGGACCGAACCGACUAAUGUUGAAAAAUUAGCGGAUGACUUGUGGCUGGGGGUGAAAGGCCAAUCAAACCGGGAGAUAGCUGGUUCUCCCCGAAAGCUAUUUAGGUAGCGCCUCGUGAACUCAUCUUCGGGGGUAGAGCACUGUUUCGGCUAGGGGGUCAUCCCGACUUACCAACCCGAUGCAAACUACGAAUACCGAAGAAUGUUAUCACGGGAGACACACGGCGGGUGCUAACGUCCGUCGUGAAGAGGGAAACAACCCAGACCGCCAGCUAAGGUCCCAAAGUCAUGGUUAAGUGGGAAACGAUGUGGGAAGGCACAGACAGCCAGGAUGUUGGCUUAGAAGCAGCCAUCAUUUAAAGAAAGCGUAAUAGCUCACUGGUCGAGUCGGCCUGCGCGGAAGAUGUAACGGGGCUAAACCAUGCACCGAAGCUGCGGCAGCGACACUAUGUGUUGUUGGGUAGGGGAGCGUUCUGUAAGCCUGCGAAGGUGUGCUGUGAGGCAUGCUGGAGGUAUCAGAAGUGCGAAUGCUGACAUAAGUAACGAUAAAGCGGGUGAAAAGCCCGCUCGCCGGAAGACCAAGGGUUCCUGUCCAACGUUAAUCGGGGCAGGGUGAGUCGACCCCUAAGGCGAGGCCGAAAGGCGUAGUCGAUGGGAAACAGGUUAAUAUUCCUGUACUUGGUGUUACUGCGAAGGGGGGACGGAGAAGGCUAUGUUAGCCGGGCGACGGUUGUCCCGGUUUAAGCAUGUAGGCUGGUUGUCCAGGCAAAUCCGGAUAAUCAAGGCUGAGGUGUGAUGACGAGGCACUACGGUGCUGAAGUAACAAAUGCCCUGCUUCCAGGAAAAGCCUCUAAGCAUCAGGUAACAUCAAAUCGUACCCCAAACCGACACAGGUGGUCAGGUAGAGAAUACCAAGGCGCUUGAGAGAACUCGGGUGAAGGAACUAGGCAAAAUGGUGCCGUAACUUCGGGAGAAGGCACGCUGGUGUGUAGGUGAAGUCCCUGCGGAUGGAGCUGAGACCAGUCGAAGAUACCAGCUGGCUGCAACUGUUUAUUAAAAACACAGCACUGUGCAAACACGAAAGUGGACGUAUACGGUGUGACGCCUGCCCGGUGCCGGAAGGUUAAUUGAUGGGGUUAUCCGUAAGGAGAAGCUCUUGAUCGAAGCCCCGGUAAACGGCGGCCGUAACUAUAACGGUCCUAAGGUAGCGAAAUUCCUUGUCGGGUAAGUUCCGACCUGCACGAAUGGCGUAAUGAUGGCGGGCUGUCUCCACCCGAGACUCAGUGAAAUUGAACUCGCUGUGAAGAUGCAGUGUACCCGCGGCAAGACGGAAAGACCCCGUGAACCUUUACUAUAGCUUGACACUGAACAUUGAGCCUUGAUGUGUAGGAUAGGUGGGAGGCUUUGAAGCGUGGACGCCAGUCUGCGUGGAGCCAACCUUGAAAUACCACCCUUUAAUGUUUGAUGUUCUAACGUUGGCCCCUUACCGGGGUUGCGGACAGUGUCUGGUGGGUAGUUUGACUGGGGCGGUCUCCUCCCAAAGCGUAACGGAGGAGCACGAAGGUUAGCUAAUCCUGGUCGGACAUCAGGAGGUUAGUGCAAUGGCAUAAGCUAGCUUGACUGCGAGCGUGACGGCGCGAGCAGGUGCGAAAGCAGGUCAUAGUGAUCCGGUGGUUCUGAAUGGAAGGGCCAUCGCUCAACGGAUAAAAGGUACUCCGGGGAUAACAGGCUGAUACCGCCCAAGAGUUCAUAUCGACGGCGGUGUUUGGCACCUCGAUGUCGGCUCAUCACAUCCUGGGGCUGAAGUAGGUCCCAAAGGGUAUGGCUGUUCGCCAUUUAAAGUGGUACGCGAGCUGGGUUUAGAACGUCGUGAGACAGUUCGGUCCCCUAUCUGCCGUGGGCGCUGGAGAAUUGAGGGGGCUGCUCCUAGUACGAGAGGACCGGAGUGGACGCAUCACUGGUGUUCGGGUUGUCAUGCCAAUGGCACUGCCCGGUAGCUAAAUGCGGAAGAGAUAAGUGCUGAAAGCAUCUAAGCACGAAACUUGCCCCGAGAUGAGUUCUCCCUGAGACUUUAAGUCUCCUGAAGGAACGUUAAAGACGAUGACGUUGAUAGGCCGGGUGUGUAAGCGCAGCGAUGCGUUGAGCUAACCGGUACUAAUGAACCGUGAGGCUUAACCUUACAACGCCGAAG
This 2919-nucleotide ribosomal RNA is filed under the name Klebsiella pneumoniae. Its description in RNAcentral is "23S ribosomal RNA". It matches the Rfam family "Bacterial large subunit ribosomal RNA". The record is from RNAcentral. Lineage: Bacteria; Pseudomonadati; Pseudomonadota; Gammaproteobacteria; Enterobacterales; Enterobacteriaceae.